This is a long non-coding RNA of Perca flavescens (yellow perch), 262 nucleotides long. RefSeq lists it as uncharacterized. Lineage: Eukaryota; Metazoa; Chordata; Actinopteri; Perciformes; Percidae. The transcript has 3 exons. The record is from RefSeq and is a predicted model, not a curated record.
UACUUGGAGAUCCUGGUCAAAGAGCACAAUGGGCGAACAAGGGAAAAAGCAAUUGCUGUGGACACGUUUGCAAUGACUGAUGAUAAUUUAUGAUAAUAAAAGCAAACUGCAUAAGCUUGAUCCACUGAUGUUCAAAUUAAUCAUUGGCAUUGUCAAUAAGAACAACCACUGGAUGUUGAUGGUUAUGCUUCCAUCAGAGAAGAGGUCGUUCCUUGAUCCUCUUGAAAAGCAAAGGACAUGAAACACUGUUAAGGUGUGACAA